GAUGAAAGCUCAUAUGAACUCACAGAGACUGAAGCAGCAAGCACAAGGCCUGCACAGAAUGUUCCCUUUUGAGACUCAACCACCGUGCUGAGAGAGAGCAAAGUCAAGCAGACAGACCACACCGAUAGAGAAUCCAAAGUUCUGGUCAACUUCCCACUCAAGGUUUCUACCAAACACCUUCAUCAAUCAGUAGCCGUGUAACUAUGCCAUCUUGGUUAUUCUAGUGUUCUCAUGCAUCCAGGUAACUGUUGCCCCAACUGACACCAUAAGCAAAAGAAAUCAUCCAGCUGAAUUCAUUCACCCAUUGUGAAUCAUGACCAGUAAAAUUGUGUUUGGAGCCAUUACGUUCUUGAGCGGCUCAAGUACUAGAAGGGGACUGGAACUAGAAUGCACAAAGUCAUAUGCAAAUGAGGAUCUGCUGGAAGAACAGAAUUGCCUUGGAGGAAUGUGCUUUUUCCCUAUAGUCUCUGCACGGAGUCACAUUACAAUAAUGACUUGCUUUCUGCCUCAGAACACAUUUGCUACCACCGGGACAUGCACAAACUCAAGAUGCACAUCCCCACCCCAGGAUCUGAGGAGGAGGCCUCCUGAUGAAUUGUGACUUCAGGCUGAACCUUAAAAAUCAUUUCUACUUUAGAGGUACCUUCAUUUAAAAACCAUCACCCUGACACUCAGGAAUUAGAAUUCUCCCUCACCCUUCAUGCACAGUUUUUUUUCCUCUUUGAAGGAGAUGCUGUGCAUGCCUUUCAGGUUAAUAUGAAAGAAGCUUGAAGAUGCAAAUGAACUGAGUAACCAUGACAACAAUGAAAGGAAGAAAACAAAACAAUUAUGCCUAUGCAAAUUCUUUCCUGAACUAGCAAGGUGAGAGAGAGCAUAGCUGUCAGCAAUAAUACCCAGUGGCCAAUGACAAAUGCACAAUGAUUUAAGGCCCAUGGAGUCUGUAGAGGUAGCUAUGAUUUAGGGGAGGGCAUCUAGACCUACACACAUAUACAAGCUCUGUCCCUGAUCACAAUUUGUGUGUGUGUGUGUGUGUGUGUGUGUGUGUGUGUGUGUGUUAUAUUUUACUGAAUUCUCUUUGGACCAGGCCUUCUGGGACCUUAGAAACUAUCUGUAUUGAAGCCCUUAUUCAUCAAAUUUCUAACUGUAAUGUGAAAGUGAUUUCCUUGGACAGUUCACUGAAAUGCAGAUUCUGAUUCAGUAGGGCUAGAGUGGGUUCACCAGACCUCUGCAUUUCUAACAAGUUCCAACAUGGACCAUGCCUUGAAAAGGCAAAUCACAAUGUCAAGACCAUGGAUUCUUCAUUCAUACCACCUGGGUUCAAAUCCUGCCUCCAUAUGACAACCCUGUGAACUUCGUCAAGUUUUCUGGAUUUUCUGUACCCUCUACUCAUAAAGAUGAAGAAAAUAGCAAAGUGACUACAUCUAAGAUUUCUCAGGUGGCUUAACUAAGCUUAUGUAUUUAAAAUGUUUUAAGUAGCAUCUGACAUGUCAUAAAGCACUCAGUACUAACCACUGUAAUCUUCUUAUAUCUUACUUGCCUCUUGAACAUUUCUGUAUAGUUGCAACUGUGUUAUUAUGUGCUUAACCUUGAUCAUAGAUAUGAGUUCUCACAUAUAGGUCCCCUUCUUACAGUGAAAACAAUGAGAUUUAGUACAGUCACAGACUUAGUGAAAGUAGGUGUCUGAUUCCAGAUCCCAGACCUUUGCUGUGAAUGUCAAAAGGGAAGGAAAUACCACAAAUCAAGAUUCUAUUCCCAGGGGGGCUAAGUACAUAAACAGUAUGCAGUAGAUGCUUAAAAUUUUUUCACUGAAUGACUUAAUCUAAUCAGCAUUUCGCCCAGAAUUUACAGACAAAUGAAUUGAACUUCAAAAGAAUUUUUAAACUGUCCCAAUUACACCCAAAAUGGAAAAGCUGGAACAGAAACCCAGAUCCUUCUUGUGUAAGGGCUGUUUUCAUUACAAAACUGAUCUACACUUUACCUACCAAGAGAUGAAAGUAGUAGGAAUAUUGGUAAGCAAACAUUUGAAAAACUACAGCAGGGGCUGCUUGGGUUGUGUUGAGGCAAAGAGACAAAGGGAAACCAAAAUUAAUGCAUUUUCUCACAUCAAACUUAUGUGAGACAAUCUCCCUCUUCUGUCUGGGACUCUGGGACUCCUAAUCACUCUCUCCAUGCUUCUUUGCACUUUCACCAAGUGAGUUAAUGGAAACUUCUCCAACGGUCCUAUUCAAUCUUUGUAGAUAUCUCAGCUUCAGUGUUUCUUAGGGUGGGGAUUUCCAGGGUAGUCUAGGAUUGGUGAUAUUUUGUGGCCUGACCUUGUGGCAAACUCAGAGAUUGGUGGAAUUCUAUGAUCUAAUUUUGGGACAACCUCAGGGAUUUGGGGGAUUUUGAACUCAGAAAAUGGUGGGAUUCUGUGGCCUGAUCUUGGGUUUUCUUUUUGGUAGGGGGAAGCUUGGCUGCCUGUAUCUUGUGGGGCUAGAAAUGGCUACUAUGGCUGUUAGAGUAGUCUGUGGGGCAGGCACUGGCCACUCUUGUACCUCAAGGGGCUUACACUGAUAAGGAGAAUAGGAAAGAGUGAAUGCAAUUCAGAAAAAGGAAAGCAGCCAACAGUCCCAUAUAUUAUUGAGCAUUUUGCCCAGACUAGAAAAUUGGGAAUUAAUCUCAUGGUAAAAACAAGUUCCACAGAUAUGGACAUGGAACCAGUAGAAUCCACUAAAAAGUGAGAUCUCGUUUCUGGUUCCCAUGAUACAAGCUCAGUAAGAUGGCAAUUACAUGGAUAAAAAUAUUUCAUAAUUGAACUGGAGAGUUGGUUCAGUGAUUAAGAGCACUUCUUUCUCUUGCAGAGGACCCAAGUUCUAUUCCUAGCACCAACAUGGCAGCUCACAUCCAACUGGAACUCCAGUCCCAGGGGAUCUGGCUCCUACUUCUGACAUCUAUAGGUACACAUAUAUACAUGCAGGCAAAAUACUCUACACAGAAAAUAAAAAUAAAUAAGCAAUUUUGAAAAAUAUUUCCUACUUGUCCAACUGAGGUUAUUAGGGGAAGGCUAUGCAAAUACUGUGCUUUGACUAUGCAGUCAUUUCUAAAAGGGGAUCCAGGAGGAAGUGCAGCAUAUCUAUUGGCUUAGUGUAGCUAAAUAGUUGUCUGUGUCUGUUAGCCCUGAAUUCAUUGAACUGAAUUACUGAAUUUGGUGCUGAGAAAAGAGAUAAGAGCAUCUGUAUUUAGAGUAUGGAAGGGUGGUAAGAAGAGAAGGCUCAGGGGAGGCAUCCUAGAUGUGUGAUUAGAUUUGUACUUAAUCCCAGGAAGAAAAAAGCACAUGUAUUUUACUGUAAUUUCAGUGUGUCUUCCAGAAUCAGUGAGGUCAUGGAAACUGUAAUCUUUGCCAUGUGCUUUUGCAGCCACAGUUCUGCUAAUUAAACCAGGGUGGGGGCAAGGUCUUUGCUGAACAUUGCAAACAUGUGACCAUGUGAAAUCAUACUUGAGUCUGAGAAGGGGGGUUGCUCAAGAGUGUGUGAAGGCUGCCGAGGUUGUUUUUGCAUUCAAGGCUUAAGUCUGAAGCAAACAGUCCCCUGACAUCCCUUUUAUUUUUCAUCACACCUGGGCCUUAGAAGCCAUGCAUACCCCAGAUGGCAGAGUUACCGUAGAGAGCAAGAUAUGUUCCCACUAUGAAUCUGGUCUAUCAUCCUCAAUGACUAGAGGAAAAUCAUUCUAAGAGGUUUUUUUAAUGGGAUUUGGGGUCUACAGGACUUCUGGUAUUACUGCUAUUGUCAUUCAAGUUCUUAAAUUAAGGGACAGUGAUGCUUUCAUGGAAUUAUAUUACCGUAGUCCCUCAAGAAGCCACAGCAGACAUUCAUUAACAUUUAGGUCUCUAUGGGUAAAAUUAAAAUAUGAAAUAUGCUUUCAAGCCACCACAGAACUUUUUUGAGACAGGAUUUUUCUGUGUAGCCUUGGCUUUCCUAGCUCUGGAGACCAGGUUGGCCUUGAACUCACAGAGAUACACCUGCCUCUGACUACCAAGUGCUAGGAUUGAAGGCCUGUGCCACCACCACCUGCCAUCAUAUAAGUUAUAUUGCAAAGACAUUUAAAGAGCUUACAUCCAGAGUAGUCUUGUCUAACCUUUGGCCUCCUCCAUGCCACAUGUGUCCAGGAUAGCUAUGAAUGCAGAUAAGCACAGAGCUAUAAAUCUAGUUAAAAUAUUGAGAUAUUUUUGGCGAUUCCUUUUGUAACUCAAUUGUGUCAUUUUUUAGUUUAACAACCUCAUGUUCCAAUGCCAAAAGGUUGGCAACACCUGGUAGAGAAAGUAGAUUUGUUCUAUGUGUCUAUGAAAUCCUCAAUCACUUUCUCUGUGUCCCCUUCUUCUCAACUCUGGUUCUCCAUAUAGAAGAUGCCUUUAAAACAUUGAGUGGUUCUGUGUAUAUUUGCAUAACAGCAGUCCUUGCUAUAAAAAUAAAUCCUGAAUAGAUUACUCUAUUGUAUAUACAUGUGGGCAUACAUGUCACAUACACUGAUUUAUUUUUCCAAGAACAAAUGUCUUAAUGUUUCUUUUCCUUGAGAAAAAUCACCGACUGCCAAAUCUUAAAUUCCAUGUAGAGCUUUGCAAUAACAGAGAAAUGAAAUAUAGUGAGGAGUCAGAUAUUUGUUUCAAAUAGCCCCAAAUGUCCAAAGACUUCAUAAGCCAAGUAGAAGGCUAUUCUUGGAAUGGCUUUGUCCUCUAUGGCAGGGAACAUUCCUUAGGGCACCAAUCAGUGAUGUAGCAACCUAAGCUUAACCUUUCCCUGAGGCAAAGGGCUAUAUCCACAGGGCUACAGAACUAGGGAGAAACACAGCCUUGGUAUGCCAUUGCCAUGAGUUCAAAUCCAAGCUCUGCUCCUUACUUGAGUAUUUUCUAAAUGUCUCAGAGUCUGUUUCCUCCUCUAUAACAUGGAGCUACCACCCCUUUCAUGAUGUCAUCAUCAUGUGAAAGUGCUUGAAACAAAAUAGGUGUCAAGAAUUGAAAGUGUCUAAGAUUAUACCCUAACUGAAAGCAAACAAAUCAGACUAUCAGUCUUAUAUACACUGAAACCUAGCAAUAAUAAAUGGAGGCCAGUUUAAUACUCACAAAAUAGUCACAACUACACAACUAUAUUCUUAGCAUUUUUGCAUGUUUUCUGGGUCCCAGUUUCCACAGGGUUAUCCAAAGAGGGCCAGGAAGAAUCUCUGAUAUUAAGACAAUGGACAGAAGUAAAUGUUCCAAAGAAGUGUUGCUUUUAUGAGCGUAAACAGUUAAGCCAACUAGCCUUUUGCUCUGGAGUUGCUCUAUUGUCUACUUCCCAUGUCUGUUUGCUACAUAACAUCCUUGGAAAAGCAGCCCAAAAUAAAAGCAGUUGAGUGCA
This is a non-coding RNA of Cricetulus griseus (Chinese hamster), 5369 nucleotides long. NCBI's taxonomy places the organism in Eukaryota, Metazoa, Chordata, Mammalia, Rodentia, Cricetidae. The record is from RefSeq and is a predicted model, not a curated record.